This 810-nucleotide ribosomal RNA is filed under the name uncultured bacterium. RNAcentral's name for it is "bacterial SSU rRNA". It matches the Rfam family "Bacterial small subunit ribosomal RNA", at positions 8 to 796 of the family's 1533-position model. The record is from RNAcentral.
AGAGUUUGAUCAUGGCUCAGAACGAACGCUGGCGGCGUGGAUAAGACAUGCAAGUCGAGCGGGAUUUUCUUUGGUAGCAAUACCGAGGAAAAUUCAGCGGCGAACGGGUGCGUAACACGUGGGCAAUCUGUCUUGAAGUGGGGGAUAGCUCGGCGAAAGCCGAAUUAAUACCGCAUGUGAUCAGAGGCGACAUCGCUUCGAAAUCAAAGGUGGCGCAAGCUACCGCUUUUAGAGGGGCCCGCGGCCUAUCAGCUUGUUGGUGAGGUAACGGCUCACCAAGGCUAUGACGGGUAGCUGGUCUGAGAGGACGACCAGUCACACUGGGACUGAGACACGGCCCAGACACCUACGGGUGGCAGCAGUCGAGAAUUUUUGACAAUGGGGGAAACCCUGAUCGAGCGACGCCGCGUGGAGGAUGAAGGUCUUCGGGUUGUAAACUCCUGUCAUUUGGGAACAAGGCGCAGGUAUUAACUGUACUUGCGUUGAUAGUACCAGAAGAGGAAGAGACGGCUAACUCUGUGCCAGCAGCCGCGGUAAUACAGAGGUCUCAAGCGUUGUUCGGAUUCAUUGGGCGUAAAGGGUGUGUAGGUGGCGCCGUAAGUCGGGUGUGAAAUUUCGGAGCUUAACUCCGAAACUGCAUUCGAUACUGCGGUGCUUGAGGACUGGAGAGGAGACUGGAAUUUACGGUGUAGCAGUGAAAUGCGUAGAUAUCGUAAGGAAGACCAGUGGCGAAGGCGGGUCUCUGGACAGUUCCUGACACUGAGACACGAAGGCCAGGGGAGCAAACGGGAUUAGAUACCCCAGUAGUCC